UAAACCUGGUUGAUCCUGCCAGUAGUCAUAUGCUUGUCUUAAAGAUUAACCCAUGCAUGUGUAAGUAUAGUAUUCUACAGCGAAACUGCGAAUGGCUCAUUAAAUCAGUUAUAGUUUAUUUGAUAAUACCUUACUACUUGGAUAACCGUGGUAAUUCUAGAGCUAAUACAUGCAUUAAAACCCGACUUCUGGAA
Molecule: ribosomal RNA, 194 nt
Filed under: uncultured eukaryote
Lineage: Eukaryota
Description: partial 18S ribosomal RNA
Rfam family: Eukaryotic small subunit ribosomal RNA
Source: RNAcentral